Molecule: ribosomal RNA, 253 nt
Filed under: uncultured bacterium
Lineage: Bacteria
Description: partial 16S ribosomal RNA
Rfam family: Bacterial small subunit ribosomal RNA
Source: RNAcentral
GACGUAGGGCGCGAGCGUUGUCCGGAUUUAUUGGGCGUAAAGAGCUCGUAGGCGGUUUGUCGCGUCGUCCGUGGAAACUCACAGCUUAACUGUGAGCUUGCGGUCGAUACGGGCAGGCUAGAGUUCGGUAGGGGAGACUGGAAUUCCUGGUGUAGCGGUGAAAUGCGCAGAUAUCAGGAGGAACACCGAUGGCGAAGGCAGGUCUCUGGGCCACUACUGACGCUGAGAAGCGAAAGCAUGGGGAGCGAACAGG